CGGGGCGUGGCGCAGUCUGGUAGCGCACCUGUUUUGGGAACAGGGGGUCGGAGGUUCGAAUCCUCUCGCCCCGACCA
This 77-nucleotide transfer RNA is filed under the name Paracoccaceae bacterium. RNAcentral's name for it is "Rhodobacteraceae bacterium (activated sludge metagenome) tRNA-Pro". It matches the Rfam family "tRNA". From Rfam's summary of the family: Transfer RNA (tRNA) molecules are approximately 80 nucleotides in length. The record is from RNAcentral. RNAcentral also lists the same sequence under 1 other name. Lineage: Bacteria; Pseudomonadati; Pseudomonadota; Alphaproteobacteria; Rhodobacterales; Paracoccaceae.